RNAcentral lists this ribosomal RNA (429 nucleotides) under Chloroflexota bacterium. RNAcentral's name for it is "Chloroflexi bacterium partial 16S ribosomal RNA". It matches the Rfam family "Bacterial small subunit ribosomal RNA", at positions 355 to 776 of the family's 1533-position model. Lineage: Bacteria; Bacillati; Chloroflexota. The record is from RNAcentral.
UGGGGAAUAUUGCACAAUGGGCGCAAGCCUGAUGCAGCCAUGCCGCGUGUGUGAAGAAGGCCUUCGGGUUGUAAAGCACUUUCAGCGGGGAGGAAGGCAAUAAGGUUAAUAACCUCAUCGAUUGACGUUACCCGCAGAAGAAGCACCGGCUAACUCCGUGCCAGCAGCCGCGGUAAUACGGAGGGUGCAAGCGUUAAUCGGAAUUACUGGGCGUAAAGCGCACGCAGGCGGUCUGUCAAGUCGGAUGUGAAAUCCCCGGGCUCAACCUGGGAACUGCAUUCGAAACUGGCAGGCUAGAGUCUUGUAGAGGGGGGUAGAAUUCCAGGUGUAGCGAUGAAAUGCGUAGAGAUCUGGAGGAAUACCGGUGGCGAAGGCGGCCCCCUGGACAAAGACUGACGCUCAGGUGCGAAAGCGUGGGGAGCAAACAGG